CGCGGCGACGUGGGUGGUU
Molecule: non-coding RNA, 19 nt
Filed under: Arabidopsis thaliana (thale cress)
Lineage: Eukaryota; Viridiplantae; Streptophyta; Magnoliopsida; Brassicales; Brassicaceae
Source: RNAcentral